This 510-nucleotide ribosomal RNA is filed under the name uncultured Acaulospora. RNAcentral describes it as "SSU rRNA". It matches the Rfam family "Eukaryotic small subunit ribosomal RNA", at positions 569 to 1078 of the family's 1831-position model. The record is from RNAcentral. Lineage: Eukaryota; Fungi; Glomeromycota; Glomeromycetes; Diversisporales; Acaulosporaceae.
AGCAGCCGCGGUAAUUCCAGCUCCAAUAGCGUAUAUUAGAGUUGUUGCAGUUAAAAAGCUCGUAGUUGAAUUUCGGGAUUUGUCAGUUGGUCGGGCUUCACUGUCCGUACUGACUUGGUGGAUUCUUACCUUCUGAAUAACCAGCAUGCUAUUUAGUUAGUGCGUUGGGGAAGCAGAUCUAUUACCUUGAAAAAAUUAGAGUGCUUAAAGCGGGCUAGUGCUUGAAUAGAUUAGCAUGGAAUAAUAAAAUAGGACGGCAUGGUUCUAUUUUGUUGGUUUCUAGGAUCACCGUAAUGAUUAAUAGGGAUAGUUGGGGGCAUUAGUAUUCAAUUGUCAGAGGUGAAAUUCUUGGAUUUAUUGAAGACUAACUUCUGCGAAAGCAUUUGCCAAGGAUGUUUUCAUUAAUCAAGAACGAAAGUUAGGGGAUCGAAGACGAUCAGAUACCGUCGUAGUCUUAACCAUAAACUAUGCCGACUAGGAAUCGGACGAAGUUAAUUUUAUAAUGACUCG